GUAGGUGGCAAGGCGUUGUCCGGAAUUAUUGGGCGUAAAGCGCGCGCAGGCGGUUCGUUUAAGUCUGAUGUGAAAGCCCACGGGCUCAACCGUGGAGGGUCAUUGGAAACUGGAGAACUUGAGUACAGAAGAGGAAAGCGGAAUUCCACGUGUAGCGGUGAAAUGCGUAGAGAUGUGGAGGAACACCAGUGGCGAAGGCGGCUUUCUGGUCUGUAACUGACGCUGAGGCGCGAAAGCGUGGGGAGCAAACAGGAUUAGAUACCCUGGUAGUCCACGCCGUAAACGAUGAGUGCUAAGUGUUAGGGGGGUUUCCGCCCCUUAGUGCUGCAGCUAACGCAUUAAGCACUCCGCCUGGGGAGUACGGCCGCAAGGCUG
RNAcentral lists this ribosomal RNA (375 nucleotides) under uncultured organism. RNAcentral's name for it is "partial 16S ribosomal RNA". It matches the Rfam family "Bacterial small subunit ribosomal RNA", at positions 527 to 896 of the family's 1533-position model. The record is from RNAcentral.